CAAAAAAUAUAUUGAAUAAUAGAAAGUAAUCAGAAGUUAUAAAAAAAAGUUACCUCACUUUUCUAUUUUAGAUAUAACUUUAUCUAAAUAGACAUAUUUUAAUAUACUGUAAAAUUAUAGGAUUAAUUAAAUAUUGCUUGCGGAUAGUUAUGCAGUUCGAAAUUGCAUACAUUAUUGCCACAAAUAAAUUUGAUGAUAUAAUAAGUAACAAUAAAUCAAAAUAUUUUUUAUCACUUUCGAUAUUGCUAUUAUUACUAUUAUAUUUUAUUAUAUAGCUUCUCAUUAAAUUUCACAUUGAAGUUAUUUUAGCUCAUAUAUGUGAAGUCCUUUCAAAUAUGACAGCUUAUAUUUUCUAAUUCCUCAACUCAGUUUGUACUAAACUUAAUAAUUUCUUACUCUAAACAAAUAUGGAAAUCUGUGGUAAUGUCUCGUCCUAUGUGAUCGCUUAAUGUGAAGCCAUAGUAGUCAAGGCAUUAAUAAAUUGCAGUAUUUAAAUUAUCAUCUUCUAACAUUAUUUUUUCUGUUUUAUAGUGGAAAAAAACAGAAAACCUGAAGAAGAUCUUGGUUUAUUGACAGAUGGAGAAAGUGAAAUGAAAUUACCACAAGGUCAAGAAGGAAAAGAUUUCCAAGAAUUCUACGGACCAAUUGAUGGAGUAAGACCCAUCGAUCAUUUUGAAGUAUAUGCAUCACUAAUAGCAAGUGUGUACAUGCAAGUAAUCAACCGUGAAGAAACAAUUUAUAUUAAAACACCAGACUGGACGGGCCAAAAAAUUAAGCUGUGCGGACCAUCGCACGUUGUCCAUCGUUGGAACAACGUGGGACAACCAGAAGAAUACACUAUUUUAGAAACUAAACACUUAUUAUGUCUAGCUAGAGAGUUGCAUCCAGACAUAACGCUUAGUUGUAACGAAUGUAAAAAACCCUUAUUCCAAAGGAAAGGGGGAGCACGAAACUGUAAUGAUUGCAUAGAAGAAUUUUUAGAAGAUCCAGAAAGAAUAGAUUAUGAACCAGUAAUUAUGAAUAGAUUAUGAACCAGAAAUACCAGUAAUUAGAAGGUA
Molecule: long non-coding RNA, 1058 nt
Organism: Odontomachus brunneus
Lineage: Eukaryota; Metazoa; Arthropoda; Insecta; Hymenoptera; Formicidae
Exons: 2
Source: RefSeq, a predicted model, not a curated record